RNAcentral lists this transfer RNA (77 nucleotides) under Chlorobiota bacterium. RNAcentral describes it as "Chlorobi bacterium (sediment metagenome) tRNA-Met". It matches the Rfam family "tRNA". Rfam says of the family: Transfer RNA (tRNA) molecules are approximately 80 nucleotides in length. Their secondary structure includes four short double-helical elements and three loops (D, anti-codon, and T loops). Further hydrogen bonds mediate the characteristic L-shaped molecular structure. tRNAs have two regions of fundamental functional importance: the anti-codon, which is responsible for specific mRNA codon recognition, and the 3' end, to which the tRNAs corresponding amino acid is attached (by aminoacyl-tRNA synthetases). tRNAs cope with the degeneracy of the genetic code in two manners: having more than one tRNA (with a specific anti-codon) for a particular amino acid; and 'wobble' base-pairing, i.e. permitting non-standard base-pairing at the 3rd anti-codon position. Lineage: Bacteria; Pseudomonadati; Chlorobiota. The record is from RNAcentral.
GCCGAGAUAGCUCAGUCGGUUAGAGCAGCGGAAUCAUAAUCCGCGUGUCGGGGGUUCGAAUCCCUCUCUCGGCACUA